This 571-nucleotide small RNA is filed under the name Arabidopsis thaliana (thale cress). Its description in RNAcentral is "ATSL271830". The record is from RNAcentral. Lineage: Eukaryota; Viridiplantae; Streptophyta; Magnoliopsida; Brassicales; Brassicaceae.
UAAGAAGCAAGAAUAAGCUUGGUUAGUUUUUUGGAGUCAAAUAUGACUAAAUGUCAUGUGUAUGAGUGAGUAUAAGAAGUAGAAGCGCAACUUGAUCUUAAAAGCCUAUGUAUUGUAUCCUUGUUGGAAGAUACAAUGACAAAGACUCAUACGGACUUCCGCUACACAAUUAAAGCUUCGAGAAUCAAGAAGAAGCUUGGUUAGUGUUUUGGAGUAGAAUAUGACUUUAUGUCAUGUGGAUGAUUGAGUAUAAGAACUUAAACUGCAACCGGAUCUUAAAAGCCUAAGUAGGGUUGCCUUGUUAGAAGAUACAAAGCCAAAGACUUAUACGGAGUUUAGCUACACCAUCAAAGCUUUGAGAAGCAAGAUGAAGCAUGGUUAGUGUUUUGGAGUCAAAUAUGACUUGAUGUCAUGUGUAUGAGUGAGUAUAACAACUAGAACCGCAAUCGGAUCUUAAAUGCCUAAGUAUUGUGUCCUUGUUAGAAGAUACAAAGACAAAGACUCAUCCGGACUUCGGCUACACCAUCAAAGCUUUGAGAAGCAAGAAGAAGCUUGGUUAGUGUUUUUUAGU